AGUGCUGUAGCUCAGCUGGUUAGAGCGCAGGUCCGAUGUUCCAGAAGUCACGGUUCAAGCCCCGUCGGGACUA
RNAcentral lists this transfer RNA (73 nucleotides) under Triticum aestivum (bread wheat). It matches the Rfam family "tRNA". Rfam says of the family: Transfer RNA (tRNA) molecules are approximately 80 nucleotides in length. Their secondary structure includes four short double-helical elements and three loops (D, anti-codon, and T loops). Lineage: Eukaryota; Viridiplantae; Streptophyta; Magnoliopsida; Poales; Poaceae. The record is from Rfam by way of RNAcentral.